This 1471-nucleotide ribosomal RNA is filed under the name Enterococcus durans. RNAcentral describes it as "bacterial SSU rRNA". It matches the Rfam family "Bacterial small subunit ribosomal RNA". Lineage: Bacteria; Bacillati; Bacillota; Bacilli; Lactobacillales; Enterococcaceae. The record is from RNAcentral.
CGCUGGCGGCGUGCCUAAUACAUGCAAGUCGUACGCUUCUUUUUCCACCGGAGCUUGCUCCACCGGAAAAAGAAGAGUGGCGAACGGGUGAGUAACACGUGGGUAACCUGCCCAUCAGAAGGGGAUAACACUUGGAAACAGGUGCUAAUACCGUAUAACAAUCGAAACCGCAUGGUUUUGAUUUGAAAGGCGCUUUCGGGUGUCGCUGAUGGAUGGACCCGCGGUGCAUUAGCUAGUUGGUGAGGUAACGGCUCACCAAGGCUACGAUGCAUAGCCGACCUGAGAGGGUGAUCGGCCACAUUGGGACUGAGACACGGCCCAAACUCCUACGGGAGGCAGCAGUAGGGAAUCUUCGGCAAUGGACGAAAGUCUGACCGAGCAACGCCGCGUGAGUGAAGAAGGUUUUCGGAUCGUAAAACUCUGUUGUUAGAGAAGAACAAGGAUGAGAGUAACUGUUCAUCCCUUGACGGUAUCUAACCAGAAAGCCACGGCUAACUACGUGCCAGCAGCCGCGGUAAUACGUAGGUGGCAAGCGUUGUCCGGAUUUAUUGGGCGUAAAGCGAGCGCAGGCGGUUUCUUAAGUCUGAUGUGAAAGCCCCCGGCUCAACCGGGGAGGGUCAUUGGAAACUGGGAGACUUGAGUGCAGAAGAGGAGAGUGGAAUUCCAUGUGUAGCGGUGAAAUGCGUAGAUAUAUGGAGGAACACCAGUGGCGAAGGCGGCUCUCUGGUCUGUAACUGACGCUGAGGCUCGAAAGCGUGGGGAGCAAACAGGAUUAGAUACCCUGGUAGUCCACGCCGUAAACGAUGAGUGCUAAGUGUUGGAGGGUUUCCGCCCUUCAGUGCUGCAGCUAACGCAUUAAGCACUCCGCCUGGGGAGUACGACCGCAAGGUUGAAACUCAAAGGAAUUGACGGGGGCCCGCACAAGCGGUGGAGCAUGUGGUUUAAUUCGAAGCAACGCGAAGAACCUUACCAGGUCUUGACAUCCUUUGACCACUCUAGAGAUAGAGCUUCCCCUUCGGGGGCAAAGUGACAGGUGGUGCAUGGUUGUCGUCAGCUCGUGUCGUGAGAUGUUGGGUUAAGUCCCGCAACGAGCGCAACCCUUAUUGUUAGUUGCCAUCAUUUAGUUGGGCACUCUAGCAAGACUGCCGGUGACAAACCGGAGGAAGGUGGGGAUGACGUCAAAUCAUCAUGCCCCUUAUGACCUGGGCUACACACGUGCUACAAUGGGAAGUACAACGAGUCGCGAAGUCGCGAGGCUAAGCUAAUCUCUUAAAGCUUCUCUCAGUUCGGAUUGUAGGCUGCAACUCGCCUACAUGAAGCCGGAAUCGCUAGUAAUCGCGGAUCAGCACGCCGCGGUGAAUACGUUCCCGGGCCUUGUACACACCGCCCGUCACACCACGAGAGUUUGUAACACCCGAAGUCGGUGAGGUAACCUUUUGGAGCCAGCCGCCUAAGGUGGGAUAGAUGAUUG